Molecule: ribosomal RNA, 658 nt
Filed under: Bacillus safensis
Lineage: Bacteria; Bacillati; Bacillota; Bacilli; Caryophanales; Bacillaceae
Description: bacterial SSU rRNA
Rfam family: Bacterial small subunit ribosomal RNA
Source: RNAcentral
GGUGAGUAACACGUGGGUAACCUGCCUGUAAGACUGGGAUAACUCCGGGAAACCGGAGCUAAUACCGGAUAGUUCCUUGAACCGCAUGGUUCAAGGAUGAAAGACGGUUUCGGCUGUCACUUACAGAUGGACCCGCGGCGCAUUAGCUAGUUGGUGGGGUAAUGGCUCACCAAGGCGACGAUGCGUAGCCGACCUGAGAGGGUGAUCGGCCACACUGGGACUGAGACACGGCCCAGACUCCUACGGGAGGCAGCAGUAGGGAAUCUUCCGCAAUGGACGAAAGUCUGACGGAGCAACGCCGCGUGAGUGAUGAAGGUUUUCGGAUCGUAAAGCUCUGUUGUUAGGGAAGAACAAGUGCGAGAGUAACUGCUCGCACCUUGACGGUACCUAACCAGAAAGCCACGGCUAACUACGUGCCAGCAGCCGCGGUAAUACGUAGGUGGCAAGCGUUGUCCGGAAUUAUUGGGCGUAAAGGGCUCGCAGGCGGUUUCUUAAGUCUGAUGUGAAAGCCCCCGGCUCAACCGGGGAGGGUCAUUGGAAACUGGGAAACUUGAGUGCAGAAGAGGAGAGUGGAAUUCCACGUGUAGCGGUGAAAUGCGUAGAGAUGUGGAGGAACACCAGUGGCGAAGGCGACUCUCUGGUCUGUAACUGACGCUGA